RNAcentral lists this ribosomal RNA (301 nucleotides) under uncultured bacterium. RNAcentral describes it as "partial 16S ribosomal RNA". It matches the Rfam family "Bacterial small subunit ribosomal RNA", at positions 509 to 807 of the family's 1533-position model. The record is from RNAcentral.
CAGCAGCCGCGGUAAUACGAAGGGGGCUAGCGUUGCUCGGAAUGACUGGGCGUAAAGGGCGCGUAGGCGGCUGACACAGUCAGAUGUGAAAUUCCUGGGCUCAACCUGGGGACUGCAUUUGAGACGUGUUGGCUUGAGUGGAGAAGAGGGUCGUGGAAUUUCCAGUGUAGAGGUGAAAUUCGUAGAUAUUGGAAAGAACACCGGUGGCGAAGGCGGCGACCUAGUCUUUAACUGACGCUGAGGCGCGAAAGCGUGGGGAGCAAACAGGAUUAGAUACCCCAGUAGUCCCUGUCUCUUAUAC